CUAAUUAAACUUAAGCUCAUAAUUAAGCUAACAGUGACUAAUUAAUGAAGAACACGUGCGCUCCAUGCUCACGACCAGAGUAAGCUGCUACUGCUGAAGAAAGACUUGCCAAACGGUGCGUUUCAUUUAAUGAAGCCUUGGAUUCCCAGGUUGACUCGUAACAGGUGCUGCUGCCUCAAGAAACUCGAUUUUGCCUAUCACUGCGUCUGUAAUGGCAGUUGGAUCAACUGGGUUUCUGUUCCAUCAUGUCUCUGCUGUCCGUCAGGACAAAGAGGCUUAUAGGAAAGAGAAGCUCUCGAUUAGGCGUGACCAACUUGAGAUGAUUAAGGAGACCAAGAAUUCUAUUUCUACAGCUAUAACCGAUUUCAAGAAUUUUGUCAGGGAUGAGUCUAAUAGCGUGGGUAAGACGAAGAAGUGAUAAGUUAACAUGCAUAUCUAUCAACACCUUGCAUUUGCUUACUAUUGAUUUUUAAUUUUAUUUUCAUGAAAAAAAAAAAAUUAACUUCAGAAAUCUACAAUGAGAACGUUUGCUUAUUUUUGUAUGUGACUGAUGCGUGAUUUCUCUAUAUUUUGGCUUCAAUGGGGAUAAACAGUCAGUGAAUAAAACGAGCUCAAACUUUUUCUUCAAUUUUUUUGAAUUUGAUGAAACACGCAAUUCAUCACUCAUCAUAACUUUAACUAUAUUCAUAAGAAUUCAAAUUUAAAGACAAAUAAAUUGAAUCUUUUCAUUAUUAUUUUCAAAGCUCAUAAAGCAAUUUCCGACCAACAAGACUUACGAAGUAGGAUUUGUGAAGAAUUUUUGCCUUUUGAACCUAAGAAAAGCUCC
Rosa rugosa (rugosa rose) is the source of this 826-nucleotide long non-coding RNA. RefSeq lists it as uncharacterized. The transcript has 3 exons. NCBI's taxonomy places the organism in Eukaryota, Viridiplantae, Streptophyta, Magnoliopsida, Rosales, Rosaceae. The record is from RefSeq and is a predicted model, not a curated record.